UGAUGUUGGUGUUGUUGGCGUUGGUGUUGGUAUUGGUAUUCAAGGUGCUGGUAUUGGUAGUGUUGGUGGUGUUAUUAUUGGUGGUUUUUAUACUGGUGGUGUUGGCAUUGGUGUUGGUGUUGGUGGUGAUGCUGGUUGUGUUCGUGGUGGUGUUGGUAUUGGUGGUGAUGUUUGUAGUGUUGGUGGUGUUGGUGUUGGUAUUGGUGUUGGUGUUGGUUUUGGUGUUGGUGUUGGUGUUGGUGUUGUGUUGGUAUUGGUGUUGGUGUUGAUGGUGGUUGUGUUAGUGGUAUUAUUGGUACUGGUAUUGAUGGUGGUGGUGGUGUUGGU
This 327-nucleotide long non-coding RNA is filed under the name Capsicum annuum. Its description in RNAcentral is "long non-coding RNA (CANN_LNC004824)". The record is from RNAcentral. Lineage: Eukaryota; Viridiplantae; Streptophyta; Magnoliopsida; Solanales; Solanaceae.